RNAcentral lists this ribosomal RNA (253 nucleotides) under uncultured bacterium. Its description in RNAcentral is "partial 16S ribosomal RNA". It matches the Rfam family "Bacterial small subunit ribosomal RNA", at positions 524 to 776 of the family's 1533-position model. The record is from RNAcentral.
UACAGAGGGUGCGAGCGUUGUCCGGAAUCACUGGGCGUAAAGGGCGCGUAGGUGGUUGGGUAAGCGUGUGGUGAAAGUCCAGGGCUCAACCCUGGGAUGCCGGUGGAUACUGUCGGGCUCGAGUCCGGAAGAGGAGUGUGGAAUUCCUGGUGUAGCGGUGAAAUGCGCAGAUAUCAGGAGGAACACCAAUGGCGAAGGCAGCACUCUGGGACGUGACUGACGCUGAGACGCGAAAGCGUGGGGAGCAAACAGG